This 393-nucleotide ribosomal RNA is filed under the name Triticum aestivum (bread wheat). Its description in RNAcentral is "partial small subunit ribosomal RNA". The record is from RNAcentral. Lineage: Eukaryota; Viridiplantae; Streptophyta; Magnoliopsida; Poales; Poaceae.
AUGGUUCUCUUUUUUGAAGGAUUGAUUAGUGGUUCUUGCCUUCUUGUUACGUGCAGCGGAUGGGAAGCUGAUGAACUGCAGCUGCAUGCGCACAACACUUGCAUCAUUGAGAUACUAUGCUUGGACUCAAAGUGCAAUGGAGUACUGGGAGAAGGACAAGUAGCUCCAUGGUAUACUUUUGAAGGGCGGAUAUUUUUUUCCAGAAAAGGCGGAAGACUUGCGCUUCAUUAUAUCAUAAGAAGCGAGAAGACAGAGUGUGAUAAUUACAAGAGACCUGACCCUAUCAGAAAUUUGUGGAUAUUUAAGUUGAAGGGCCACCAUCUUACUCACACAGGUCAAAAGGAUUUUGUUUGCCCACAUCCAGAUGAACUGGUAUGCCAAUUCUAUCACUGA